This 253-nucleotide ribosomal RNA is filed under the name uncultured bacterium. RNAcentral describes it as "partial 16S ribosomal RNA". It matches the Rfam family "Bacterial small subunit ribosomal RNA", at positions 524 to 776 of the family's 1533-position model. The record is from RNAcentral.
UACAGAGGGUGCGAGCGUUAAUCGGAAUUACUGGGCGUAAAGCGCACGUAGGUGGCGACGUAAGUCGGGUGUGAAAGCCCCGGGCUCAACCUGGGAAUUGCAUUCGAGACUGCAUUGCUGGAGUACGGAAGAGGAGGGCGGAAUUCCCGGUGUAGCGGUGAAAUGCGUAGAUAUCAGGAGGAACACCGGUGGCGAAGGCGGCUACCUGGACAGAAACUGACGCUGAGGCGCGAAAGCUAGGGGAGCAAACAGG